Molecule: ribosomal RNA, 201 nt
Filed under: uncultured bacterium
Lineage: Bacteria
Description: partial 16S ribosomal RNA
Rfam family: Bacterial small subunit ribosomal RNA
Source: RNAcentral
GUAGUCUGCAACUCGACUGCAUGAAGCUGGAAUCGCUAGUAAUCGCGAAUCAGAAUGUCGCGGUGAAUACGUUCCCGGGUCUUGUACACACCGCCCGUCACACCAUGGGAGCCGACAACGCCCGAAGUCAGUGACCUAACCGAGAGGGAGGAGCUGCCGAAGGCGGGGUUGGUAACUGGGGUGAAGUCGUAACAAGGUACC